This 825-nucleotide ribosomal RNA is filed under the name Triticum aestivum (bread wheat). RNAcentral describes it as "partial small subunit ribosomal RNA". Lineage: Eukaryota; Viridiplantae; Streptophyta; Magnoliopsida; Poales; Poaceae. The record is from RNAcentral.
AUGUCGCCGAAGCAGCUGCUGACCACCAUCCUCAUCGUCUUCUCCACGCUCUCCUUCAUCAAGCUCAUGCUCCUCACCCACUCCGCAUCGUCGUCGCCCGCGCGCCCCGGCCGCUCGGCCUGGGACGCCGGCGGGUCGGGCAACGGCACCGCGGGCGCGGCUACGGACGGCCUCAACGCCAAGGAGUUCGCGCUGCUCCGCUCCGUCGUCGCCGCGCGCGCGCCGUGCGGGCUGCUCGUGUUCGGCCUCUCGCCGCAGCUCCUCGCGCUCGCGGCCGUCAACGACGGGCAGGGCGCCGCCACCGCCUUCGUCACCGACAGCGCCGAGGACGCGGCCAGCGCGCGGCGCGUGCUCGCUGGGCGCGGCCCCGGCGGCUCGGCGGCCGUCCACCGGACCACGUACCAGGACCCGGCCGGGGAGGCGUGGGCGCUGCUGCGGCGCGCGCGGGCGAGCCCUGUGUGCGGGCGGCCGACGGGGACGGUGCGCAAGUCCGGCUGCCGGCUGGCGCUGACCUCGCUGCCGCGGGAGGUGCUCGACGCGCGGUGGGACGUGGUCGUCGUCGACGGGCCGAGCGGGGCCGGGCCCGGGGAGCCGGGGCGGAUGGGCGCCAUAUACACCGCGGCCGCGCUCGCGCGCGCGGCGGGGGGCGGCGCGGUGGACGUGGCGGUGCACAAUAUGAACCGGACGGUGGAGCGGUGGUACGCCAGGGAGUACCUCUGCGAGGACAACCUCGUCGCCGCCAAGGGGCGCCUCUGGCACUUCCGUGUCGCCGCCGGCGGGCCGCCGGAUGCGUUCUGCUCGACUGCUCCGGUCCAGAUCUUGUAA